Molecule: ribosomal RNA, 500 nt
Filed under: uncultured bacterium
Lineage: Bacteria
Description: partial 16S ribosomal RNA
Rfam family: Bacterial small subunit ribosomal RNA
Source: RNAcentral
AUUGAACGCUGGCGGCAUGCUUUACACAUGCAAGUCGAACGGAUUUUGGAGCUUGCUCCAGAGUUAGUGGCGAACGGGUGAGUAAUAUAUCGGAACGUACCCGGCAAUGGGGGAUAACGUAGCGAAAGUUACGCUAAUACCGCAUAUGCCCUGAGGGGGAAAGCAGGGGACCAGUAAUGGCCUUGCGUUGUCGGAGCGGCCGAUAUCGGAUUAGCUAGUUGGUGAGGUAAAGGCUCAACAAGGCGACGAUCCGUAGCGGGUCUGAGAGGAUGAUCCGCCGCACGGGGACUGAGACACGGCCCAGACUCCUACGGGAGGCAGCAGUGGGGAAUUUUGGACAAUGGGCGAAAGCCUGAUCCAGCCAUGCCGCGUGAGUGAAGAAGGCCUUCGGGUUGUAAAUCUCUUUCAGGUGGAAAGAAAAGGUUACGGAUAAUACCUGUAACUGAUGACGGUACCAUCAGAAGGAGCACCGGCUAACUACGUGCCAGCCGCCGCCGUAA